AGAAGAUUAGGUAUUAAAUCAUAUUGUUGCACUUUGGAGAGAGAGAGAGAUGGUUUCUCCAUUGGACCUUUAGCUUGAAGGAGUCAUGCCUGUGUUCGUUGUUCUCUCUCAUCUUUCAGGGCAUUAAAAGCAAUGAUGGUGUACAGAAA
This is a long non-coding RNA of Lemur catta (Ring-tailed lemur), 149 nucleotides long. RefSeq lists it as uncharacterized. The record is from RefSeq and is a predicted model, not a curated record. Lineage: Eukaryota; Metazoa; Chordata; Mammalia; Primates; Lemuridae. The transcript is spliced from 4 exons.